CCCGGCGACCGGCGCACGGGUGAGUAACACGUAUGAAACCUGCCCGUAGCAGGGGAUAAGCGGAAGAAAUUCCGUCUAAUACCGCGUAACAACCCAUGGAGGCAUCUCUGUGGGUUUAAAGGAAGCGAUUCCGGCUACGGAUGGUCAUGCGUCGCAUUAGCUUGUUGGCGGGGUAACGGCCCACCAAGGCGACGAUGCGUAGGGGUUCUGAGAGGAAGGUCCCCCACACUGGUACUGAGACACGGACCAGACUCCUACGGGAGGCAGCAG
RNAcentral lists this ribosomal RNA (270 nucleotides) under uncultured bacterium. RNAcentral describes it as "partial 16S ribosomal RNA". It matches the Rfam family "Bacterial small subunit ribosomal RNA", at positions 87 to 354 of the family's 1533-position model. The record is from RNAcentral.